Molecule: long non-coding RNA, 873 nt
Filed under: Malus domestica (apple)
Lineage: Eukaryota; Viridiplantae; Streptophyta; Magnoliopsida; Rosales; Rosaceae
Description: long non-coding RNA (MDOM_LNC000532)
Source: RNAcentral
GAACAUAUAUAAGUGAAUAAAUAAGAAGGAAGAUUUUGGGCCCUUGUGGGUGUAAAACAAAAAAUGUUUAGGUUUUGUGAACAAAAUUUGUUUAUUUGGAGCAAGGUUUUGUGUUGAAGCUUUGUAGGUGAAGCUUUGGUGUUGAAGCUUUCUAGGUGAAGCUUUGAUGGUGAAGCUUUGUAGAUGAAGCUUUGUAGAUGAAGCUUUCUAGGUGAAGCUUUGAUGGUGAAGCUUUGAUGGUGAAAGUAUGUAGAUGAAGCUUUCUAGGUGAAGCUUUUUGAGGUGAAGCUUUGUAGGUGAAGCUUUUUUAAGUGAAGCUUUGGGCCCUUGUGAAGCUUUGGAGGUGAAGCUUUUCGGGUGAAGCUUUUUUGGGUGAAGCUUUGUGGGUGAAGCUUUUUAGGGGAAGCUUUGUGGGUGAAGCUUUGGAGGUGAAGCUUUUCGGGUGAAGCUUUUUUUGGGUGAAGCUUUGUGGGUGAAGCUUUUUAGGGGAAGCUUGGUGGGUGAAGCUUUGGAGGUGAAGCUUUUCGGGUGAAGCUUUUUAGGGGAAGCUUUUGUGGGUGAAGCUUUGGAGGUGAAGCUUUUCGGGUGAAGCUUUUUUGGGUGAAGCUUUGUGGGUGAAGCUUUUUAGAGGAAGCUUGGUGGGUGAAGCUUUGGAGGUGAAGCUUUUCGAGUGAAGCUUUUUAGGGGAAGCUUUGUGGGUGAAGCUUUGGAGGUGAAGCUUUUCGGGUGAAGCUUUUUUGGGUGAAGCUUUGUGGGUGAAGCUUUUUAGGUGAAGCUUUGUGGGUGAAGCUUUGGAGGUGAAGCUUUUCGGGUGAAGCUUUUUUGGAUUUUUUUUUUUUUUUUUUUUUUUUUUUUUUUUUUUUUUUUUUUUUU